UCUUUUUCAAAUCUCUGCCUCAUUGUCAGUUGAAUUCGCGAAACCAGAGCGAAACUGUUGAAUAUUAUGGUGUUGAUUAAAACAUUGACUGAAGAUUUGUACUAAAUAUAUUUAUGUUAAUCAGAUGGAUGAUCAUCGAGUUGCAAAAAGGAGUUGAACUAAUCAGCAAUUACUGACCGAAGUUUGUUCUUCUUAAGGGCGAUGCAGUCAAGACUUGUGAUGUGAUUAGACAGUACGUAACCGUUGAUAUUAUCUAAGGAUUAUGAGUGCCAAAAAAAGUCAAGAAGUAAAUUCGCCACAUUCUCCUAGCAACAGGAGAAAGCACUGUAGAGUUUUCGACAAUAUCUCAUGCACAAGCAACGUAUCCGCUCGUUGGACCUCAAUUUUCAGUUGCUGCUCGAGACCUAAUCGCGGAGAGCCUGCAAAUCUCGCUUUGCGAGAGUUUAAUCCAAAUGAUUUCGACUAUAUUGUUGAAAAACUUGUGGUUAAACGCGUCCCUCUAUCGCUAUAUGCAACCGAAGAAGAUUUUCAAGAUUUUAUCGACGAAAAAAAUCACAAAGAAACUCCGCAUGGACCCUUCGCAAAUGCUGCCAUGAAAGAGAUGCGGGAUAGACAAGUGUAUUCAACAAUUUCUGGAGUCAGUUCAGCGUUACAUUUUUUUAAAAAUAAAAUCCCUGAGGAUUUAUUGGUAAAACAAUCCAAUAAGAAUCUACGAUUCAAUAAAGAUCGAGACAUAUUGGACGAAGACGCUGCGGAGGCUGGACCCUCAAGUUAUGUCAACGCCAGAUACGAUAUACAGUCCUUGCGCACGCGAGAAGAGGAGCACGCGAAAAAUGAAUAUUUGAAUCAAUUUUCUGCCCUGCAUCCUGAUUUAAAGGAGAGUGAAAGGCCGAUCAAAGAUCCCAACCCAUUAAAUCCACCUCAAAGUACGCGAUCAUUGGCCGAAGAUUUGUCGGAGAUUGCAUCGAUGAAAAAAAAUCUCAAUACGAAAUCGAAAAACGGGAGAGGAACUGGUAAACACAACUCCAACGUCUAUGUCACUGUCUCUGGUACUUCCAAAGAAUUAUCAACCCGCGUUUUGAACGAUGAAGAAAUAACACCUACGCGAUCAGACAAUAAAUAUACUGCUAAACAUACGUCGAUUUAUCGUAAAAUGGGCAUUGCAUCAUGUUUACCUUACUCGCAAAAAACUCCUAAGGGACGUCCGACCAGAUCAGAGAAAAGCAAACAGAUCUAUAAGGAGUCUGCAGCAACAUCAUCUGAAAAUGGGAACUUUCAUGAAAAGUCUCAACCUAGAGCAGAACGUUAUGCUACACCCGAUAAGCCUGGAAUCGCUAAACUAAAUAACAAUGAAACAAAUUUUUCCGCAGAGUCAGAUGCAAGUUUUAGAACCGAGAGCCGAAAUUAUCUGGAUCCGUUAUCAAAGCUGGCAGAUGAAGAAUAUACUACUGAUGCAACCUCGUAUACGUCUGAUGAUUUGAAAAAUGCAAAUUCCGCCGGUACUACCUUGAGAUGGAAAAUCAUAAUCAAACAUCAUAAACCCUCGACGGCGUCUCCAGAAGCUGGCGGAACGACCUCAGAUUUUCCGAAAGCUACUGCUACAAUUAUACCUGCACUAAAUGAUGAAUAGAUAUAAGCUUCACAUUUGUAAAGCUAUACAUGAAAAUAAUUCUAAUUUUACAUGCGCAUAUAUCUAUGCCUGAGAAUAAUUAAUAAUCCGAUAUUGUGGGGGAUAUAUAUUUUUGAUUUGGCAAGAAUUCCAAAAAAUAUAAUAAAUUUCUUACGCAUUCGUAAUUCUGUCAAACCCAAUAAAUUCAAGAUAACGGGGCCAUCACAGUCCAUAUUAUACAUCGUUGAUUUUUUAGAUUAUUUCUUCAUUACUUCCUUUAAUUUUCUCAGCCAAAGAAGAAUUUUUAACGUAUGCAUACGUAUUAUAUCUGGGUGUACGCAUUGAGUAACUAUACUUCGUAUGAAACGUAAGUGGUAAACGUAAGUGGUCCGUGUUUUAAAUCCACCCCCAACGAAAUCAGUUGAGGGAAAAAGGAACUUGUCGAUUGUGGAAACCAAGGGAAGGAGGGGGGGGGGGGACCAAAGGGCAACGUUUUGGUGCCUUUUGGCCCAUUCAUAAUAUCGUUCUCCUUAUAAACUGUAAUCAGCGUCAAAGUAAAUAAUGAAUCCGUUAACGUGAGUAACAUUCACUUAACUUUCACGUACCUCGAAUUUGCUACCGAAAUGUCAAAAACAUCACGAAAUUAGCAGAACAGGAAUUGACACGUCCCAGCAAAUCUUCGUGGCAUGACAAAUACAAA
Molecule: RNA transcript, 2309 nt
Organism: Athalia rosae (coleseed sawfly)
Lineage: Eukaryota; Metazoa; Arthropoda; Insecta; Hymenoptera; Athaliidae
Gene name: RNA-binding motif protein, X-linked 2
Exons: 2
Source: RefSeq, a predicted model, not a curated record